This 465-nucleotide ribosomal RNA is filed under the name Vreelandella stevensii. RNAcentral's name for it is "partial 16S ribosomal RNA". It matches the Rfam family "Bacterial small subunit ribosomal RNA", at positions 338 to 795 of the family's 1533-position model. Lineage: Bacteria; Pseudomonadati; Pseudomonadota; Gammaproteobacteria; Oceanospirillales; Halomonadaceae. The record is from RNAcentral.
CCUACGGGGGGCUGCAGUGGGGAAUAUUGGACAAUGGGGGCAACCCUGAUCCAGCCAUGCCGCGUGUGUGAAGAAGGCCCUCGGGUUGUAAAGCACUUUCAGUGAGGAAGAACGCCUGGUGGUUAAUACCCAUCAGGAAAGACAUCACUCACAGAAGAAGCACAGGCUAACUCCGUGCCAGCAGCCGCGGUAAUACGGAGGGUGCGAGCGUUAAUCGGAAUUACUGGGCGUAAAGCGCGCGUAGGUGGCUUGAUAAGCCGGUUGUGAAAGCCCCGGGCUCAACCUGGGAACGGCAUCCGGAACUGUCAAGCUAGAGUGCAGGAGAGGAAGGUAGAAUUCCCGGUGUAGCGGUGAAAUGCGUAGAGAUCGGGAGGAAUACCAGUGGCGAAGGCGGCCUUCUGGACUGACACUGACACUGAGGUGCGAAAGCGUGGGUAGCAAACAGGAUUAGAUACCCUAGUAGUC